This is a long non-coding RNA of Podarcis raffonei (Aeolian wall lizard), 2491 nucleotides long. RefSeq lists it as uncharacterized. Lineage: Eukaryota; Metazoa; Chordata; Lepidosauria; Squamata; Lacertidae. The transcript has 2 exons. The record is from RefSeq and is a predicted model, not a curated record.
GCUGUUACAGAUGUAGGAUUGCAGCCAAGCUACUUACCCAGGAUUAUGAAAUGUAUGGGACUUCUUGGUAGACCUGGUUUGGUUUAGCCAUUGGUCAGUUCGACUUGAGCAUGGCAGGGGUUUCUUCUCUUCCCAGUCUCUUCUCUGAUUCCCGCCCGCCCAGCAACUUCCCAUUUAUUAUGUGGGUUAGUUAAUUUCUCACAUCAUCUACAGAGGAACUCCCAAUUUCUUUUUUUAAAACGGUGAACGAACGUCUCUUCCUGCCGCCAGGAGGCAACCAGGGAUGCUGGUUACAGGUAUGGCUGUUCCUAUUUAGAUUCUUGCAGAACGAAGAAUGCCAAAACUGAAGGCUUAUGGGUCUUGGCAGAUGGCCUUCAUGUGUGAGUGGUGUUUGGGCUAUUCAAGCGCUGGGACUUGGGGAACUGAGAUCACUGUUGGUACAUUUGAUGCUCCAGUCUCUUGAUCAGGCAUAGGCAAACUCGUUCCUCCAGAUGUUUUUGGGCCUACAACUCCCAUCAUCCCUAACCACUAAGCCAAGUUUGCCUAUGCCUGCUCUUAAUCACUGGAGGAGUAGCAUUCUGCAUUGCUGCUAGGCAAAGCAGCAUCUGCUGAACAUCAGCCUGCCACGUUGCGCUUAACUACAGAAGAGAGAAGGUGGUAACCUUACAUGCAACUGCUGCAUUUAAACAGUUACAAAUGGAGAAUUAUAUGUUGCAGGUCAACAAACGAGUUAGAAUUGUAAAGCAUAACUAUUAAUAUCUUUGGUUGGGGUGUCAUAUUGUCCUUGACCACAAGAUGCCACUGCAGUAUCUAAACAUUGAUUCUGGCAGGGGGUGGAGGAAUAUCUGUCCAACGGCGAUCAAUUUUUCCAUACGAAACGGGUAGUUUAAUAGCAUGUAUGCCUAAAUGGCAAACAUGAGCUGGCUUUGUCUCAGAUUAGGUGUUAUUUUAAUGUCUGAAUUUCUGGAACUUGUAAUUUGGUAAGGCUGCUGGCUCAGUUUAUACGUCUACUUGGAAUUGUACCAGGAGAGUUUGGUGCCUAAGGCAGAGUAGACCCAAUCUGGCGAACUGUGUAGGGAGCUCAGCCCCAAGGAACUGGAAGUAGCAGUUUGCUGUGUUCUCUUGGCUAGCAAGAAGACAUAAACUUUUGUUUAGAGUUGCUGCCUCAGUCCUGGUUAAAACUAUGCUUGCUGAAGUAACUUGGUUGGGAACUAAGUGUUUAUGUGCUACUAAUUUCACGCAUGGCUAUAUGGCAGUAACAAACCCUGGUAACAUUUAUGUUUAAGAAGGGUGGGGCACCUCCAACAGGUCUAGUUAGGCCUAGCAAAGGUCCUGAUUUGACCUGUUUCCCACAAGCCAAGCCCAUUUGCUGUCUUCAGAUGCAGGCAAAUGCUUGGUUGCCAUGAAUUUGAAGUCUGUUUGCAUUGGAAACCACUUUCAGUGGGACGUCAAAACUCGUGGCUCUGAGCAGAAUUAUUGCAAAGGCAAUGUGUCUCAGCAACCAUCAGGUGAUCGGCACUGGUACAUUGCCUUUAAAAGUCACUUCGCAAGCGUGUUUUAAUGAGACAACUUGUUCCUCAUCUUGUGUGACCCUGAGGGUCAGAGAAAAAGAGAGAGUUUGAUUCUUUUUUAAAAACCAAAUCCAUAAAACAUGGUGUGGUAAUUAAAAUAUAUCUGUUUAAUUGUAAGGGGGCGGCGGUCUACAUUGCUGAAGCAGACCUGGCAGGGCCUGGCCAAAGCAGUGGGUGCACUUUCUCCUUCCUUGACACUUGAGUAAGGACAGAGGCACCGGUUUGCCCCCAAGAUGGGGCAGUACAUGUCUUGCAUGUGUGUCAUCGCACACACAAUGUCACACAUGUCUCCCCAUACCAUGCAAGGCCAGUGCAGCCUUCCCUGAUGGGCCCCCUCAACAUUGGUGGGGCUGGGCCACCUUCAAACAAAUAUUGAGGGGUCCUAAGACACCUCUUCCCCCUAGAGUUGGUGCACCUGGUUAAGGAUAGGAUAGUGACCAGCUUUGUGAUGUGAACAGAGGCGACCAUUUUAAGGCCUGUAAAUGUUGGAGCAGACAGCCUUAUUUAAGCUCAGAAGGGAUCUGUAGCUGGUCGUGACCAAACACUUUUUAUAUUGCCUGACAUUUUCUUCCUGAUAGUGCGCGCGCGCAUAUAUUCCCAGAUCAGCACAUUUGAGACAAUAAGCCUUUCCCCCCAGCUUGGAGGGGCCUACUUAGGCAGAGGAACAAGAGUAAUAAGUGUCGCUCUGUAUAAUCCUCAUUAGCUGCUACAGCUUAGAGAAGGAAAUCCUCAGAGGGAAUUCAGGAUUUCACUUUAAAAAAGAAAGAGGGGAAAGAUUUGCUUAUGCAAUAAAAUCUGGCUUGUGCAUAAUAUGACAUACACAGAGUUGUGGUUUUUUUCUUCUAAAAAGGAGAGGAGCUGCAAGAGUUAAUCCUCACAAAACAAUGCUCAACCUAAUAAAACAAAAAGCCUAACCCAAA